RNAcentral lists this ribosomal RNA (460 nucleotides) under uncultured bacterium. Its description in RNAcentral is "partial 16S ribosomal RNA". It matches the Rfam family "Bacterial small subunit ribosomal RNA", at positions 338 to 795 of the family's 1533-position model. The record is from RNAcentral.
CCUACGGGAGGCAGCAGUGAGGAAUAUUGGUCAAUGGGCGCGAGCCUGAACCAGCCAAGUAGCGUGAAGGAUGACUGCCCUACGGGUUGUAAACUUCUUUUAUAUGGGAAUAAAAUGUUCCACGUGUGGGAUUUUGUAUGUACCAUAUGAAUAAGGAUCGGCUAACUCCGUGCCAGCAGCCGCGGUAAUACGGAGGAUCCGAGCGUUAUCCGGAUUUAUUGGGUUUAAAGGGAGCGUAGAUGGAUUGUUAAGUCAGUUGUGAAAGUUUGCGGCUCAACCGUAAAAUUGCAAUUGAGACUGGCAGUCUUGAGUACAGUAGAGGUAGGCGGAAUUCGUGGUGUAGCGGUGAAAUGCUUAGAUAUCACGAAGAACUCCGAUUGCGAAGGCAGCUCACUGGACUGCAACUGACACUGAGGCUCGAAAGUGUGGGUAUCAAACAGGAUUAGAUACCCGUGUAGUC